GAUCUGCUGUAGUCUACAACUGGACGCUUGCACUCAGAUCACACUGGCACAGGAUGCCAUCACAUUGAAACAGGAUAUCCAUGCACCGGAAGGUCUGAGGGAUACAGUCCUGUUGGACUGGAAAAGAAAGAGACAUUUGGUCAGUGUCUGGAUCUUCCUCUUCUGCCAUGGUGGACCUUUCUGGUAAAUACAGGACCAUUUCUCUUUCCACCAGAAAAUGGCAGCUGCAGACCCGAGUGUCCAGUCCGCCCAUCUAAAAGACAAAAAAAUGAACAAUCUGUAGCAGAGCCUGGACUUAUGGAGGCUUCAGCAGUGUCCAAUACAUCCCAACUCAGGAUCCACGAGAGCAGUGGGACGGUCACGUGAUCUUCCAUCUCCAGGGGCAGGUUGUGUCCUGGGUUAUCAGCCGGCCCUGGCUCCGUGGACUCUGAGCCAGACCGAGGCCCCUGGGGUGUACGAAUGGUUCCGGCACUCAGAAGAGGUUUGGAGUGAUGCUCAUGUGAGGCUCCAGCGUGCCGUCCAUCGCCAGAUGGAGCUGUCCAGAGGUUUGACAUCGCUGGUUUUUACUAACCAUCGGUCCUGGCAUUCAUCAUUACGCGCACCUGGCAUUCAUCAUUUCACUGAUUACUUCCCCAAUAUCUGUCACUCCCGUAGUUCUAUUCCCCAUGCAGUAUUGACUAUGUGUUCCAUAUUUGUACGCUACUCGUGUUUCUUGUAUUGUUCCAUUUAUUAUUAAACUCACCCCUG
RNAcentral lists this long non-coding RNA (747 nucleotides) under Salmo salar (Atlantic salmon). RNAcentral's name for it is "lncRNA (ENSSSAG00000087534.1, ENSSSAG00000103037.1)". The record is from RNAcentral. Lineage: Eukaryota; Metazoa; Chordata; Actinopteri; Salmoniformes; Salmonidae.